AUUGAACGCUGGCGGCAGGCCUAACACAUGCAAGUCGAGCGGAUGAAGGGAGCUUGCUCCUGGAUUCAGCGGCGGACGGGUGAGUAAUGCCUAGGAAUCUGCCUGGUAGUGGGGGAUAACGUCCGGAAACGGGCGCUAAUACCGCAUACGUCCUGAGGGAGAAAGUGGGGGAUCUUCGGACCUCACGCUAUCAGAUGAGCCUAGGUCGGAUUAGCUAGUUGGUGGGGUAAAGGCCUACCAAGGCGACGAUCCGUAACUGGUCUGAGAGGAUGAUCAGUCACAUGGAACUGAGAACCGGGCCCGGACCCCAAGGGGGGGCAGCGGGGGGAAAUUUUGGAAAAGGGGCGAAGGCCUAAACCAGCCAGGCGGGGGGGGGAAAGAAGGCCUUCGAAUGGUAAAGCCUUUUAAGUGGGGAGAAAGGGCAGGAAGUUAAUACCUUGCUGUUUGAAGGUUACCAAAAAAAAAGGCACCGGCAAAUUUGGU
Molecule: ribosomal RNA, 483 nt
Filed under: uncultured bacterium
Lineage: Bacteria
Description: partial 16S ribosomal RNA
Rfam family: Bacterial small subunit ribosomal RNA
Source: RNAcentral